AAAAGUCCUGUAAACAC
RNAcentral lists this transfer RNA (17 nucleotides) under Ameerega trivittata (three-striped poison frog). Its description in RNAcentral is "partial tRNA-Phe". The record is from RNAcentral. Lineage: Eukaryota; Metazoa; Chordata; Amphibia; Anura; Dendrobatidae.